UUAAAGUUGUUGCAGUUAAAAAGCUCGUAGUUGAACCUUGGGCCUGGCUGGCCGGUCCGCCUCACCGCGUGUACUGGUCCGGCCGGGCCUUUCCUUCUGGGGAACCGCAUGCCCUUCACUGGGCGUGUUGGGGAACCAGGACUUUUACUUUGAAAAAUUUAGAGUGUUCAAAGCAGGCCUUUGCUCGAAUACAUUAGCAUGGAAUAAUA
RNAcentral lists this ribosomal RNA (209 nucleotides) under uncultured eukaryote. Its description in RNAcentral is "partial 18S ribosomal RNA". It matches the Rfam family "Eukaryotic small subunit ribosomal RNA", at positions 604 to 819 of the family's 1831-position model. The record is from RNAcentral.